RNAcentral lists this ribosomal RNA (451 nucleotides) under uncultured bacterium. RNAcentral describes it as "partial 16S ribosomal RNA". It matches the Rfam family "Bacterial small subunit ribosomal RNA", at positions 354 to 796 of the family's 1533-position model. The record is from RNAcentral.
GUGGGGAAUAUUGGACAAUGGGGGGAACCCUGAUCCAGCCAUGCCGCGUGUGUGAAGAAGGCCUUUUGGUUGUAAAGCACUUUAAGCGAGGAGGAGGCUACCGAGAUUAAUACUCUUGGAUAGUGGACGUUACUCGCAGAAUAAGCACCGGCUAACUCUGUGCCAGCAGCCGCGGUAAUACAGAGGGUGCAAGCGGUAAUCGGAUUUACUGGGCGUAAAGCGCGCGUAGGUGGUCAAUUAAGUCAAAUGUGAAAUCCACGAGCUUAACUUGGGAAUUGCAUUCGAUACUGGUUGGCUAGAGUAUGGGAGAGGAUGGUAGAAUUCCAGGUGUAGCGGUGAAAUGCGUAGAGAUCUGGAGGAAUACCGAUGGCGAAGGCAGCCAUCUGGCCUAAUACUGACACUGAGGUGCGAAAGCAUGGGGAGCAAACAGGAUUAGAUACCCCAGUAGUCC